Molecule: ribosomal RNA, 269 nt
Filed under: Enterococcus lacertideformus
Lineage: Bacteria; Bacillati; Bacillota; Bacilli; Lactobacillales; Enterococcaceae
Description: Bacterial large subunit ribosomal RNA
Rfam family: Bacterial large subunit ribosomal RNA
Source: Rfam by way of RNAcentral
CUGUACUCGUUGUUUUUGUUUGAGCAAUGGAGGGACGCAGGAGGCUAAGGAAUGCAGACGAUUGGAAAGGUCUGUCUAAGCAGUAAGUCUGGAUAGGAGUCAAAUGCUUCUGUCUUUACGGACAAGCUGUGAUGCUGGAAGGGCCAUCGCUCAACGGAUAAAAGCUACCCUGGGGAUAACAGGCUUAUCUCCCCCAAGAGUCCACAUCGACGGGGAGGUUUGGCACCUCGAUGUCGGCUCGUCGCAUCCUGGGGCUGUAGUCGGUCCCA